Myotis davidii is the source of this 74-nucleotide non-coding RNA. The record is from Rfam. NCBI's taxonomy places the organism in Eukaryota, Metazoa, Chordata, Mammalia, Chiroptera, Vespertilionidae.
GGUGUUUCUCCAGUGACGCACCCAGAAUCAGGCUCCCUUCUUUCUGAUUCCGGGUGUAUCACCCAAGAACUGCA